ACUUCUAUUUUCAAGGAAGAUAAUGACGGUACUUGAGGAAUAAGCAUCGGCUAACUCUUGCCAGCAGCCGCGGUAAUACAGAGGAUGCAAGCGUUUCCGGAAUGAUUGGGUGUAAAGCGUCCGCAGGUGGUUUUGUAAGUCUGCUUUAAAGCGUGUGGCUCAACCACAUACAGGCAGUGGAAACUAUGAGACUAGAGUAUGUUAGGGGUAGAGGGAAUUCCCAGUGUAGCGGUGAAAAAAUAGAGAUUGGGAAGAACACCGGUGGCGAAAGCGCUCUGCUAGGACAUAUGACACCCAGUUUCCCCGCAC
This 309-nucleotide ribosomal RNA is filed under the name Calothrix elenkinii VB62237. RNAcentral's name for it is "bacterial SSU rRNA". It matches the Rfam family "Bacterial small subunit ribosomal RNA", at positions 429 to 754 of the family's 1533-position model. The record is from RNAcentral. Lineage: Bacteria; Bacillati; Cyanobacteriota; Cyanophyceae; Nostocales; Calotrichaceae.